UUAAAUCGAUAUCAAUUUGAUAAAACAUCGAAAGGAAUAUGACUAAAGCCCAUGAAUAUUUAAGGUGCUAUGUGAAGGAAAAUCCAACCUAGUUGACCAAGAUCCCAAGAUCUAAGUUUAAUGGGACAACCUACUUACAUAGACCUUGUGAGGUCACUGUGGGAGUGAACUAAACAACAUAAGUUACCUAUGUGAGAGUGAAGUGGAGCCGCUUCAAGGAGACUAUUGGGACAUAAUUCUCUAAGCUCUUGCAGAACCAGGAGAUGUCCACAACUAUAUACACA
Long non-coding RNA from Hibiscus syriacus, 284 nucleotides. RefSeq lists it as uncharacterized. The record is from RefSeq and is a predicted model, not a curated record. Lineage: Eukaryota; Viridiplantae; Streptophyta; Magnoliopsida; Malvales; Malvaceae. The transcript has 3 exons.